RNAcentral lists this ribosomal RNA (426 nucleotides) under uncultured bacterium. RNAcentral describes it as "partial 16S ribosomal RNA". It matches the Rfam family "Bacterial small subunit ribosomal RNA", at positions 354 to 796 of the family's 1533-position model. The record is from RNAcentral.
GUGAGGAAUUUUCCGCAAUGGGCGAAAGCCUGACGGAGCAAUGCCGCGUGAAGGAUGAAGGCCUAUGGGUUGUAAACUUCUUUUCUCAGAAAAGAAUUAUGACGGUAUCUGAGGAAUAAGCAUCGGCUAACUCUGUGCCAGCAGCCGCGGUAAGACAGAGGAUGCAAGCGUUAUCCGGAAUGAUUGGGCGUAAAGCGUCUGUAGGUUGUUUAAAAAGUAUUCUGUCAAAGAUUAGGGCUUAACCCUAGAUAGGCAGAAUAAACUUUUAAGCUAGAGUUUGGUAGAGGCAGAGGGAAUUCCCGGUGGAGCGGUGAAAUGCGUAGAUAUCGGGAGGAACACCAAAGGCGAAGGCACUCUGCUGUGCCAAUACUAACACUGAGAGACGAAAGCGAGGGGAGCAAAUGGGAUUAGAAACCCGUGUAGUCC